AAUAUGUAUAAAUUUUUGUAUGCAAUAUGUAUAACUGUAUAAAUUUGUUAUAGUUUUUAUGUAUGAAAUAUGUGUAAAAGUUGUAUGUAUAUUUUGAUUAUGAUAAAGUACAUAUAGAUUGUAUAAAAUCUAAUCAAAGUAUGUAUAGAUUAUGAGAAAGUAUAUAUGUAUAAUAAGUUUUCUAAUUGAUACUAACCAGAUUCCAUACACAUUUCAUACAUUAAUUCAUAUCAAAUUUAUUCGCAUUUCAUACUCAUUGUACCGCAUAUAUCUAAAUGAUAUAUAGCAGAUUUCAUACACAUUUCAUACAUAUAUUAGUUUUCAACGUUUUUGAAAACUACUGUUUAUGUAAUAUAUAAAGGUUUCAAACACACAAUGAUCACACAUAUCUCAAAACGAUACAAAUCAAUUUUUAUAUACAAUUAAUACAUAGGUCAGUAAUAAAAAAUAUUUUGUAAUAUUGAUUUGAAAAUUUAUUCUAGGAGAGAAGAUGAAUUUUAGGUCUGGAAAUGGUGUCUAUCAUAGAAGGAGAGGGAGAGAGAGAUAAAUCUUUUAAAAAAGAAGAAGAAGUUGAUUGGUAACUAUCCUAAAAUUAAGCCCACAUUUAAAAUCAGAUUUUUUUCCUUAAAAAAAGCCUAAAAUCGUGGGAUCCCAUUAAACUCAAAUCUGGUAUACUUUGUAAUUUCGUUGGUAUGUUUUGUAAAUAAGGAAAAGUAUCCUUAUGUUUUGUAAUAUAGAGUCUUAAUUAGUAUUAUUAAGUCAUUUUCCCUAAAACAAAAGGAAAUAUACUUGGACUUUAGUUUGGGAAUGAGAUGACUUUGGGGUGAAUAUGGUUGACCAAAUGAGCUAAAAAUGAAAUAAAAUAAGUGAAGUUCUCUUAUAUAUCUAUAUAAAAUAGGAGAGGCAAAAAUAUUGUGUCAUCACUAAAAAAUUUCUAAUUUAAAAACUCCAAGCCUACAAAAAAUAAAUUGCCAAUUCACAAAAUGGGACAGUUAUAAUUGUCGUAAACACAAAAUUCAGUUUCACGGUGGAACUACUAUAUUUCCACAAUUGACAACUCUAAUCACAAAAAUUCUAAUCACAAAUGCUCUUGGUUUUGCUCAAUUCAACUAAUACUCUAUAUUUCCACAAUUGACAACUCUAAUCACAAAAAUUCUAAUCACAAAUACUCUUGGUUUUGCUCAAUUCAACUAAUACUCUAUAUUUCCACAAUUGACAACUCUAAUCACAAAAAUUCUAAUCACAAAUACUCUUGGUUUUGCUCAAUCCAACUAAUACUCUCGCCGGCAAAGCACGUCAUCAUCGUUUCUCUCAGGAAAAAUCGCACAAUGGAUUUCGAUGAGUACGAAUAUAUCGAGAAAACCGUUGAAGAAAUAUCACAGAAGAGAUAGAGAUGAAGUCGAUGACUACGAUGAUGACUACAAUUGUCAUCAUCUUUUUUUUUUUUUUUUUUUUUUUUUGUUCUGUUUAUUAAAAUGUGAUAUGCUGUGGUGAAUUUAGAAUAACAAAGCCUAUGCUUUUUUAGUUUUGUGCUAGCAAGUAGUAUAGAUAAUUUGUAGAAAACAGAACAUUAAAAAUGAGGGCAAAAUAUACAUUUAAAUAAACGUACUAAAAUUUUGUAGCAUUGGCUGCUCAAAUGAAGUGAACCAAAAUAUACAUCACUGUACUAGAUUUUUUUUUUUUUCAAGGAGGUAGAAAAAAUAUAAGCUCCUUAUUGCAAUGUCAAGAUACAUGAAUUCUUUCUUCGUUUCUUCAAUUUCAGAGAGAUAGAGGAUGAUGUUAUAGAGGUUUAUGCAUAAAUAGACAGACUUAUUGUUAUUGGUUAUGAGUAUGUGAUUAUAGUUUUUCAUAUGCUUAUAUCUUAAUGUAUAAAAUUUGUGGGAGUUGAAGAACAGGAGAUUCAAGAGAAUAGUCUGAAAGCCUCGCUUGUUGGGGAGGACUGGGUACAAUGGACAUAAAUUUAGUGUCACGAGUCAAAAUUUUAAGUACUAGAACCAUUGAGACAAGUUCUAAAAUUUGUUUAUAGUGCAUUUUGUUAAUUCGACUAGACUCUAAAUUUUACAGGUAAUUACGAACAAAGAAUAUUCAUCGGUAGGUUUGAGAGUUCACCUACUACAAGCCAAUAUCCCUUUUUGCUCAGGGAUAUGUAGAAUACACCGUAACAGAUGUUGAAGAUUAAUAUUGGAAGUUUAGGUGAUGCGAAGCAUGACUUUGAUUAAUCAACUUCAAAUACAGCUCCGCGCAUGAUAAACAGGCCUUGCCUGCUACUCUUUGUAUUUUUUCUCCUAUAAAUAUUUCUUAACUCCUGUUUUGUUAACUUUAGCAAAAUACAUUAUUUUGUGUUAACUAUUUUAGAACACGUUACAAAGGAUUAUCUAAAUUGGAUUAAAAGCAUUCUAAAUAGUAAAUUGUGUAAACUCAGAUCUUUUGGAGUUAUUUCAUGGAGAUAAUGAUGACCAACAAUUUCAAACGAAGUUGGCCUGGAAAGCUCUUCAACAUGUCCUUAUGGUUCUGCAGUUCCAGAGUGGCUGCCGAAGCAGAGUGUAGGAGUUGUUGCAUAUUGGUUACUACUGAAAAAGCUGUUGAUUGAUCUACUACAAUAUUUAUUGCGCCAUGCACUCUCGGUGUGCCUAAGGAGUGGAAUAAAAUCUGCGAGAAGCAUACCAGCUAUGUUAAACUUCAAGUUUUAGAUGAGCAGGAUUAACAUACAUUUUCAGAGAAAAGGUCCCACAACAGCAUUGUCCAAAUUAUCAAUCAGAGAAAGCAAAAGAGCUGAAUUUGUGAAGAUAGAGGACUAUAAUGAACUUACCAUAUUCCCAUUUUUUUUUAUUAUUCUAUGCAUCUUUCUUCUCUUUAGACUUCUUUUACGUUUCUUCUACGGUUCAAGCCUUAUUAUUUCAAUUGGCAUGCCCUUCGGCCUUCAUAGCAUCAGUUGCUUCACUUAGUUUUUCAACAGCUUCAUGAAGUUGGAGGUGGA
Molecule: long non-coding RNA, 2977 nt
Organism: Lycium barbarum (goji berry)
Lineage: Eukaryota; Viridiplantae; Streptophyta; Magnoliopsida; Solanales; Solanaceae
Exons: 3
Source: RefSeq, a predicted model, not a curated record